This 114-nucleotide non-coding RNA is filed under the name Pseudomonas marincola. RNAcentral's name for it is "Pseudomon-groES". It matches the Rfam family "Pseudomon-groES RNA". The record is from RNAcentral. Lineage: Bacteria; Pseudomonadati; Pseudomonadota; Gammaproteobacteria; Pseudomonadales; Pseudomonadaceae.
GUUGCUGAUACCGCAAGGUUUUCUGUCAUCUGACAGAACAGACUUCCGCGUCAUGCAAGGCAUGACGCAACCGGCACCGCCGGACUUUGCUAACCCACCGGUGAAGACACCGGU